GCAGUCUCUUCCCCUUCCUUUUUCUCUUCUCCUUGGCUCCUAAUCGAGGUCCCUCCGCACUCUUACUCUGGGGCCUUUGCUCGACCUCGCUCCCUCAGUCUCUCUGCUCCGUCGCCACGGAGGUUGAUUUCGACCACCAUAAGCCUUAUCUUCUGAUUUUGCCCAAUCCAAGUUGCGACCAUCAAAGCUAUUUCCACCCACACGGUUUCUUCUCCUACAAUAAUUGUUGAAAGAGCAGGGUCCUUUGCUUGGGCACAUAAAAGUUGGAGAGUCAGAGAGGAGUUUACAGGCAGCUACAAUUAAUCUAUUUGUAGCUACUGAGCUUCCACUUCAACAAGCAUCCUCCCCCCUGUUUUGCAAUUGCUUAAUGAUCCAAAUCCUGUUGUUAGGGAAGCAACUAUUUUGUGCAUUGAGUGGAACUUUGCAAUGUGAACGCUCAAUGUGCUGGUGUUAGUAGGUCUUAAUCAAAACUUUCAGUUACUUAUGAAAGAGAAGGAAAUAAACCUGAUAUUGUUGUCACAGUUUGACAAGAAUCUUCCCAGGAUAUUAAUGGCAAGUACACGUAAGCCACCAUUAUCUUCAAUGCUCAUUAUUGUUUGAACACAUUCAUAUAA
Long non-coding RNA from Glycine soja, 614 nucleotides. RefSeq lists it as uncharacterized. Lineage: Eukaryota; Viridiplantae; Streptophyta; Magnoliopsida; Fabales; Fabaceae. The record is from RefSeq and is a predicted model, not a curated record. The transcript has 4 exons.